ACCACAUAACGCGGGGGCUCUCACGAUCACCGAGGGCUGAGAUGGCGACAGGCGGUCGCCGACCGCUCGAACCUGUCCGGGUAAUGCCGGCGUAGGGAGACCAUCAUGGGAACACG
RNAcentral lists this non-coding RNA (116 nucleotides) under Gordonia paraffinivorans. RNAcentral's name for it is "TPP sequence". It matches the Rfam family "TPP riboswitch aptamer (THI element)". From Rfam's summary of the family: Vitamin B(1) in its active form thiamin pyrophosphate (TPP) is an essential coenzyme that is synthesised by coupling of pyrimidine and thiazole moieties in bacteria. The previously detected thiamin-regulatory element, thi box was extended, resulting in a new, highly conserved RNA secondary structure, the THI element, which is widely distributed in eubacteria and also occurs in some archaea. The record is from RNAcentral. Lineage: Bacteria; Bacillati; Actinomycetota; Actinomycetes; Mycobacteriales; Gordoniaceae.